UACAGGACGAACGCUGGCGGCGUGCUUAACACAUGCAAGUCGAACGGGAGUAUUGAAGAAGCUUGCUUUAGAGAUACUUAGUGGCGGACGGGUGAGUAACGCGUGAGGAGCUGUCCUAUGCAGGGGGACAACAGCUGGAAACGGCUGCUAAUACCCCAUAAGCCGAGAGGUAAAAGGAUCAAUCCGGCAGAGGAGGUACUCGCGUCCUAUCAGCUAGUAGGUGAGGUAACGGCUCACCUAGGCGAAGACGGGUAGCCGGCCUGAGAGGGCGAACGGCCACACUGGAACUGAGAUACGGUCCAGACUCCUACGGGAGGCAGCAGUGGGGAAUAUUGGGCAAUGGGGGAAACCCUGACCCAGCGACGCCGCGUGGGUGAAGAAAUCCUUCGGGAUGUAAAGCCCUGUUGUAUGGGAAGAGCGGAAGACGGUACCAUACGAGGAAGCCCCGGCAAACUACGUGCCAGCAGCGGC
RNAcentral lists this ribosomal RNA (471 nucleotides) under uncultured bacterium. RNAcentral describes it as "bacterial SSU rRNA". It matches the Rfam family "Bacterial small subunit ribosomal RNA", at positions 23 to 518 of the family's 1533-position model. The record is from RNAcentral.